Molecule: ribosomal RNA, 452 nt
Filed under: Veillonella parvula
Lineage: Bacteria; Bacillati; Bacillota; Negativicutes; Veillonellales; Veillonellaceae
Description: bacterial SSU rRNA
Rfam family: Bacterial small subunit ribosomal RNA
Source: RNAcentral
GACGAACGCUGGCGGCGUGCUUAACACAUGCAAGUCGAACGAAGAGCGAUGGAAGCUUGCUUCUAUCAAUCUUAGUGGCGAACGGGUGAGUAACGCGUAAUCAACCUGCCCUUCAGAGGGGGACAACAGUUGGAGACGACUGCUAAUACCGCAUACGAUCUAACCUCGGCAUCGAGGAAAGAUGAAAGGUGGCCUCUAUUUAUAAGCUAUCACUGAAGGAGGGGAUUGCGUCUGAUUAGCUAGUUGGAGGGGUAACGGCCCACCAAGGCGAUGAUCAGUAGCCGGUCUGAGAGGAUGAACGGCCACAUUGGGACUGAGACACGGCCCAGACUCCUACGGGAGGCAGCAGUGGGGAAUCUUCCGCAAUGGACGAAAGUCUGACGGAGCAACGCCGCGUGAGUGAUGACGGCCUUCGGGUUGUAAAGCUCUGUUAAUCGGGACGAAAGGCCUUC